Molecule: long non-coding RNA, 8789 nt
Filed under: Manihot esculenta (cassava)
Lineage: Eukaryota; Viridiplantae; Streptophyta; Magnoliopsida; Malpighiales; Euphorbiaceae
Description: long non-coding RNA (MESC_LNC006359)
Source: RNAcentral
AACCCGAAAACUAAUUUUCCGUUUGUUUCAAUUAUUUAUCUGCACGUAUACAUCCAAUCACUAUAGAAUAAUUUUCAAAAAGAGAAGUAAUGUAAACAUCCAAUCAAUUCUCAUGUUCUGUUAUGGAUAUGUCCAUAGCAAUUCAAAGUGUUCGCCUAAUCUUAGACGAUAGAAAAUUGCACAGUUUAACUAUGAAAAUGAACAAGAGAAACAGAAAUGCUACAGCCAUCAACAGCACAAAAACCAAGACGAUCUCUGAGGUUACUUCAUCCAAGAUGGUGGAAAGCAGUGCGUUCUUCAUGGUUGAAGAAGUGGAGCAACGUAAAGCUUGAUCGAAGAGGAGAAGUGAAAUAUAUGUGAAAGUUGCUUACGAUAUUGUGUGCUUUCAUUGUGACUUGCCAGUAAUUCGAAUAAUAAUUUUUAAAUUUAUUUUUUAUUUAAUUUAAAAUAAUUAAUUUAAAUUAUUUAAUACUUUUAUACUAAUUAUAAUAUAUAAUUUUACUUUUUCCUUAAUUUACCAUUUGGGACGUGAUAUUCAAUUCCACCACUUGAUUCCAAAAGAAAACCCUAGAAUAUCAACCAAAUGAGUUGAGUUCAAAGAACCGGAUCUCUAACAAGCGCUGCUCCACCUGCAAGACAAACGGUCGCAUCACCGAGAGGAAGAGACGGAACAUCAAAGAGCAAAUCACCAUCUAUAGAUGAAAUCAUUAGAGCUCUCAAAAGAAAGAGUUUCUACUCUCAACUACCGAAUCUACAUCUUUAGAAACAGAGGAAGCAGAGAGUCGAAUUUAAAGAGGGAGGUAUCAAAACCAAAUAUUUCACAGAGAAUAGAGGAGGCGGUGUGUUCUUUGGCAUCUCUCUCGCACCUCCCUUAUACCCUAUGAACCUCUGCCAGCAAGAGUCACCAUCUACACUCUUCACCCGAGUUUAGACUAUAUGGAACUAGGUCUUUGGUUUUCUAAAAACACUUGCAGAAAAACAAACCCAAGAAGCAAAGCAAAAACACAAAAGAAGCACAUCAAAUAUUUCGAGGAGCUUGCUUUGUUUCACAAGAAAACAACAUCCAAGAUAAAGGACAAUCUCCAUUCAUGCAGCUCAAAGCAACUCAUAAGCACAUACAGUAAAUCAAAAACCAAGUCUCCCUAUCAAAGCUUUUCAAAUCUGUGACCUAGAAAACACAAAAACUCUAUACAACCCACCCAAAACCCAACUCUAUACAACCCACCCAAAACCCAAAAAAUGUAAUAUCUAGUUGCUUUCCGCUCCACAUAUAGAUAAUUCUGAAUCAGACAAAUUGUUCAAAACUAAUUGAUAUAAGUAAAGGGCUAUCUGUAUGAGACGAGACGGAGCCGCUCGAAAUAUUAGCGAACCACACCACAGUACUCAGAGUUCGGUCUUGAUUUGAUUCUGAUUUAGAUUUAGUAAUGGUAUCCGAUUCGAUUACUACGAGAACGUUUCAAAUUUAUUUAGCAUGGAGAGAAUGAUAUCCAAUGCUUUCCAUUCCACAUCGACUGAUCCUGAUUCGAUUUAUGACUAAAACGUUGCAAAUUUAGUAAGGAAGAACUGCGUCCCAUCCCACAUUUACGGUUUACGGCACAUUCACAGUUUACUGCAAAUUGACCGGCAAAUUAAAAUUGUGAUGACGGGUUACGGCAAAUCAAAAUUGUGAUAUCUAGUUGCUUCAAAAUUGUGAUGGUUUAUAGCAAAUCAAAAUUGUAAUAUUCAGCCCUUUUCCAUCCCAGGAGAGAGCGUGAUAUCUGGCUGUUUCUCAUUUCAGAAAAUAGUGUGAUAUCCAGCUACUUUUUGUCCUACAUCGACAGUUUACGGUAAAUCGAACCCUGAUUUGGUCCUAAUUUAAUAAUUGUAUCUGAUUCGAUUGACGGUUUACAACAAAUUGAACUCUGAUUUGAUCUUAAUUUAGCAAUUGUAUCUAAUUCAUUCAGUUGCAACGAGAACGUUACAAAUUUAGCAGCGUGUGAUAUCCAGCUGCUUGCCGUCCCAGUAGAGGUGAGUAUUCGGUCGGUUCGGUUCAAAAUCGAACUGAACCAAAUAAACCUAAUAUCAAAAUUUUAGUAUUUAUAAAAAUCAAACCGAAUCGAUUUUGGUCAGAAAUUAAAUCGAAUCGAAUCGAUCUGAUUCAAUUUGAUUCAGUUCGGUUUGAUCGGUUUCGAUUUUUAAUAAAUUUUUUAUUUUUUACACUUUAUUUUUAAUAUUUUAAAAUUUAAUUAAAAUAUUUUAAUUUUAAUAUAAUUUAAUUUCUCCAUAUAAUUAAAAAUAACAUAUUAUUAUCACUAAUCGGUUCGGUUUGAUUUUUUUGAUUUUUUCUGAUCAAAAUCGAACCGAACCAAAAUAACCGAAAUUUUUGAAAUUAAAAAUCAAACCGAACCGAAUUGAAUAAAAAACUGAACCGAAUUUUGAAAUUAAUUCGGUUCGGUCUAUUUUUUCGGUUUGAACCGAAUGCUGCUCACCCUACGUCCCAUGGGGAGAGUGUGAUACACGAAAUUGCUAAAUAACUUGGGUUAACCAUUUUGGACCAAGUAAAAAGUUGAUCCAAAAGUUAUUUUGGUCAGUUUGAACCGGACUGUUUCACACAAACUGGAUUUAAAAAGGAGAGGGCGGAGGAACCACUUUUCGAAUAGAAAAGGAGGUAUUAUCUCCGACCUGAAGGGGCUAGGUCAGACAAAUUGUCUAGAGUUAGUGCACCUGCGAGAAAAGGGUUACAUGUGUGAGACGAGGUGGAGCCAUCGAAAUAUUAGCGAACCACAAUACUCAAGGGUUCGGUCCUGAUUUAGCAAUUGUAUCCGAUUCAGUUGCGACGAAAACAUUGCAAAUUUAGCAGAGAGAGUAGCUGCUUCCCGUCCCACAUCAACGGUAUAAUGGUUAGUACUAAACUAUUAAAUAAUUUGUAUUAAUCAUUUUAAAACCAAUAGAAAGUGAGUCUAAAAGUUAUUUAGAUUAGUUUGCGUUUAAAUGUUUCACAAAAAGUAGAAAGGAGUGAGAGAAGGAACCCACUUUUCGAGUUGGAAAAGAGGUAUCCUCCCCAACCUGAAGGGGCAGGAAACAACUGAUAGAGCGGCGGUACUAGAAUGACGAAGGCUCAAACACAAAGAGGCUAAAAACAAUAAGAAAUCUUUCUCUCUUUAACUUUUGGAGAAAGCGGGAAGUUUUUUUUAAUAAAAAUAAAGAAACUCACACUGGAAAAUAAAUUAAUUCAUAAGGUAAGUUUUAUACAUAUAUAUCUUUAACCAUAAAAAAACCUGAGAGGUUGCUUUUUAAAUCUCUAUCAGCCAUGUAGUGAUGCAUGAGUUAUGAGGCCCUUGUUGUCGCCUUUAUUGCAAUCUCACAAGUGAUUGUCUAGUGAACCGUCGAGAGCAUCCACCUUUAACCUCUUGCAACUCAGCUCAGAUUGAACACAUGAUUGUCUUAAUUAUCAGUUCUUCAACCUCUUACAACUCAGCUUCCAAAAACCUUCCAAUUUAUUACAACUAUUAAACAAAUAUUACUGAGUUCUACAGAAAUUAUUAUCUAUAUUUGUCUCAUGGUUUUGCUACAUAUAAUUACAAAAACAGGUAAACUAGCAGCACUUAUGAAUGUUCCUUUCCUGAAAAGACUACCUUGGCUGGGGAAAUAGUCCAGAAGACAGAUCCACGUUCGUAAAUUCAAUAGAAUUACUAUUUGAUUGACUACGUCCCUCUCUUGUUCGAGCCGUCUCUGUUGCUAAACACUCGUUCAGUUCCACCAACACUUGGCUCAUAGUUGGUCUUUCAGCAGAAAUUUCAGAAACGCAAGCCAUUGCAAGUUCUGUAACUUUCCAGACAGAAUUAGUGUCGAAAUCUCCAAGCAAUCUUGGAUCAGAAAUGGUCUUAAUAUCUCCUUUGUCAAGCAUGGAACUAACCCAAGUGCUCAGAUGAGUCCUGUCACCAGUUUUGGCAAUCACUGGUCGGCUUGUAAUGAUCUCUAGAAGAACAACUCCAUAACUAUAAACAUCGCUUUUUUCAGUCAACCAGUUUGUUACAUGGUACCUACCAACCAAAACUUGUAAUUAAUUUCUAACAUAAAAACUAAGGAGUAAUUCUCGUCCAAAUCGGAUUUAUUAUUAAUGUUUGUUAUGAUCUUAUUUAAAACUUUUUUUUUAUUUUAAAUUAUAAAGUAAUAUCUACAAAAAUUAUAAAUAUAAUAUUGACUUGUAAAUUAAUGAAAAAUGAGUUGAAUUGUUCAAAUUUAGUAAUAAACAAAUUAAAUAUAUCGUUCAGCAUGCCUAUUGCCUUAUUCUUAAGUUUGUGACAGGUAUGCUGCUUGAGACUUACUCGGGAUCCAGGUAGCCUGGAGUGCCAGCAACAGUUGUCGACACAUGAGAGCCAUCUUCGGUUGGAAAAAUUCUGGACAGCCCAAAAUCAGCUAAUUUGGCUUGGAAAUUACUGUCCAACAAGAUGUUUGUAGUCUUCACGUCUCUGUGCACAAUUGGCGGCUUGCAGCCAUUGUGAAGAUACUCCAAUCCUGCAUUUUCCAUUUUAAUGCCAUUUUCCAUAAAAUGAACAACAAAAUCUCGUACAUGUUUGAUUACUGACCUUGUGCUGCGCCAAUGGCUAUUCGAAGUCUCUCCUCCCAGCUUAAGAUAUUUACUGGGUCAUCGCCUGCAUUCAUACGAAGAAUUUUUUUGCUCAAUAAUAGAAUUUUCAUGCAAGUAUUUUUACAAAUAUGUGUAAAACAAACAAAAACGAACCUGAGAGAUGGUGUUUUAAGUCUCCAUUGGCCAUGUAUUCAUAGAUGAGCACCAUAUGGCUGGGUUCCUCGCAGUAUCCGACGAGGGUAGUCAAGUUUUUGUGAUGAACUCUCAAAAGAAGUUUAACCUGCCAUGGAAAUACACACUUUGUAGUAUUGUCUCCCAGGGAGUGAAGAGAAAAGUUUGUACAAGAGAUCGAUGCCUUUACACAUGAUCAUACUACCUCGGCCUGGAACUCUUUGUAGCCUUGAACUGAGGAUGGAGAAAGCGUCUUUACAGCUACUUCAGUAUCACCCAAGAGGCCAUGGUAAACGGUUCCAAAUCCUCCCCUGCCAAGAACUCUUUCAAAGUUAUUGGUCAUUUCCAGGACUUUAGAGUAGGUGAAUUGUCGUUUUCUUGACUCUAAUAUCCUCGCUUGAGCUUCCAUCAUCUCACCAGCUACUGUAAUGUGUAAAUAGGAAUAUUGUGAUGAGGUUGAAAUAUUUAUUACUAAACUAAAGUUAUAAAUAUAUGUACCUGCUGCUUGUUUCUUUCUUCUUUUAAGGCAUAUUGCCAGUGAUAUUGCUGCUACUAUCGCAAAUAAUGCAGAAACCGAUACUGUUACUGGAACAACGUAAUUCUUCUUGUUAUUAUCAUUGCAUGAAUCCAAUGCACAAAGUUCUGGAUUUCCGUCAACACUGGAGUUGAUAACGACAAAACAUGAGAAUUCUUUUUAUAUUAUGAACAAGCCGGAUCAUGGCUAAGCUUCGGCUCACCUUGUCUGGCUUCGGCCGGGCCACCUUUUCUUGAUUUUUAAUAUUUAUUCCAUGAAAUUAUUGGUUGCUUCCUAAAUAUAUUGAGUUAUAAUGCUCUUUAUAUGUAUAUAUAUAUAUAUAUGUUGACCAGCUCUUUAUAGAUUAAGAAAGAUAAAUUUCAUAUUUAUAUGAGUUGGGUUUUGUCUUGCUAAGUUUUUCCUAAAUAUAAUUUUGUAAAAUCUUUCUUUAUCAAAAAAAAAAAAAUCUUAUUCGUUUCUCUAUGAAUUCACUUAUAAUUUUGCAAGAGAAAAAAUGGUGAAAAAAAUGAAAAUUAUUUGGCAGUAAGAUCAGAAAAUGAAUCGGAUAUGUAUCUUCAUAAAAGGUAAUAGGACUAUGGAAACUAAACCUUAGCAAUAGCAAGCCAUUUUGCCUUCUCUUUAAGAGGUCAACUGGAAUUCUACCUGUGAGCCUGUUGCCUGUCAGGUUUCUAAAGAAGCAUAAAAAAGAGGGACUCAUAUGAGAAUUUCUUUAUAACAAAACUUUCAGAUUCAAUUGAAUCACAAAAGUACUUACAGUACUUCCAAGGACACCAACUUAGAGAGAAAAUCAGGCACAGGUCCAAUUAAACUAUUGUUUGAUAAGUCCCUGGCAUAUUAUAAUAUUAGUCAGAACUGAAUUUUUUUCAUACAUCAAAUUCAGAAUUCAUUUUCAAUCAGAUUAGCUAGAAUACUCACAGAGAUCUUAGCGAUUUCAGAUUGGCUAUAUCAGAAGCUAUCUCACCUGUCAAUCCGCUGGAGGAUAAGUUCCUAAAUGAAUUUUCAAUAAUACUCGUUAUUACAAGAUGGAAUUGAGAAGAAAAAUCAAUUACGCAAAAACCCAGAAGACAUAAACUUACAGUGAUGUGAUUAUAGGUGCUGUCCCAUUAUAGCUGCAGUUAAGACCAUCCCACACAUACUCCUGAGGAGCACAUGGAUCUCCUUGCCAGUUUCUGCUUAUUCCAUACGUUGACUUGAUGCUCAUGAUUGCGUCAACUAUUACAUGUUCAAUUGCAUAUAUAAUCCAUAUACGCAAUUAAUCCCAACAGAUAAACACUGGAAAGUAUUUAACAUAUAAUACUAUAUAAUAAAUUACAUACUAUCAGGUCUGCUUGUUUCUGAUUGUAAGAGCUCAAUCAAGUAAUAAACUUCAACUGCAUUAAGAAGAGGCGGCAGAGUUGACCCAUCAACUUUGAAGAGGGAAAAGAGAUAGUCUCCUCCAGUGAUGGCUGAUUGGCUGUAUGCAGUGCUUGUAUACAAGUAAAGAGGAAUAAUAGGUCCGAACCAGAUGGUUCCAUUUCGAGAAAUGUUGAAUUUACGCGACUGGUUAGCUUCAAGCUUCACAACAUCGGCGAAGUGCAUGUACAUAUAAAAUUGGAAAUUUUUGUAUUUCACGCUAUCGCCUAUGGAUAGUUGCAAGGGAUUGCUGCUGUUUGCUGGUAUAACUGCGCUCCUCAUCACGAUUGGCGGCGGCUGGUAAUCGUUAUGGCUUCCGACAUCAAUAGUGAGAUUGGUACUUAUGUCUGUCAGUUGGAUUAAAUGAAAGGGAUACCAGAAACGAUCAAAGAUAUCAUAAGGAUACCUGAGGAGACAUACACAUAUGCUUGUUAGAAAACUACAUUACAACUUUGAAUCCUAGUUAGAGUACAAUGAUUUAAUCACCUGACAUGAUCUUGAUUACUUAUUGAACCAAGGUCCAGCCGUUGUCCGAUUAAGGCAAGCGCUCCAGCUCCAGACUGAGUUACAUACGUAGUAUUUCUCAAAGGCCUUAAUUCCAAUGCUGAAAUAAAUGGAGUUUCAGAGUUUAUAUUUACAAGACAUAUACAUAUGUAACUCACUGAAGCAUCAUAUAUGAUCUCCUCUAUUACAGGAGUGGAUGUAUUUUGUAUUUGCACUGUAACCCAUUUGUUAGGUCCUAUGUGCAGGUCAAAUUCCGGCAGCUGAUUUAAAUUAUCGUAAUUUCCAUACAUAAAAGUGGCUCUGAUCAAAUAUUUGGUAUUUGCAGUAACCGUUACGUUGUAGCAAUUUCUGAUGCCCUGAGGAAAGCUCCUGACGUACCAAAGCUGCCUGUCAAUGCUAUUUGUACUGAAUUCAGGUGGCAAGCUCCUAGCUACGCCGCUGUAAAUGAAGUACGCAUCUGAAAUGUAAUAUAGGCUGGUUUUUUCAUCAGAAUAGCUAGUAUUUGCUGGCAACCCACAGUCAAGGCUGAUAAAGUCUGAAAAAGGAGACAUGUGGUUAGCAAAAAUGAAAAAAUUUCAACAAUUCAAACUGAUAUCAAGAGGUUGGGAUUUGUGUAUAGACCUGAUUGAUCCUGGCCCUGAGCCUGCAGAAUUGCAAGUGAAAAAAAACCAAGGACAAGAAAUUUGAUCUCCAUAGUUUGUUCUUGCUUGGAAGAAUAUAGAAAUAAUAGAUAGCCUCUCCAUUUUUAUACUACCAAAAUCAUAUGGAUGAACCUACAGUGACCAAGUCGAUAGUGAGAUAUGGUGAUAUAUACAUAUAUAUUGAAGUUUGGUGACUAGGUCAAUUGUAAUUACGGCUUUAAUUUUUUUUUUCUCAACUAGGCUUUAAAUUAAUCUAUGCAAGAGUUGGGUCAAUUCAAUUAUUAGAAUAAAAAUUAAUAGUGUAAAUUUUAAUGAAAUAGGUAAUGUUUGAAAUUUUCAUUAUCGACUUUUUUUUUUAAUUUUAAAUGAGCAGGUAAUGUGGUCUGCAAUCUAACUCCUUAUANNNNNNNNNNNNNNNNNNNNNNNNNNNNNNNNNNNNNNNNNNNNNNNNNNNNNNNNNNNNNNNNNNNNNNNNNNNNNNNNNNNNNNNNNNNNNNNNNNNNNNNNNNNNNNNNNNNNNNNNAAAGAAAAAUCUGUAAAAUUUAAUUGAAAAGUAAAUGUAAAUAACCCGAAAACUAAUUUUCCGUUUGUUUCAAUUAUUUAUCUGCACGUAUACAUCCAAUCACUAUAGAAUAAUUUUCAAAAAGAAUGUAUACAUCCAAUCAAUUCUCAUUUUCUCUUAUGGAUAUGUCCAUAGCAACUCAAAGUCGCCUAAUCUUAGACGAUAGAAAAUUGCAUAGUUUAACUAUGAAAAUGAACAAGAGAAACAAAAAUGCUACGGCCAUCAACAGCACAAAAACCAAGACGAUCUCUGAGGUUACUUCAUCCAAGAUGGUGGAAAGCAGUGCGUUCUUCAUGGUUGAAGAAAUGGAGCAACGUAAAGCUUGAUCGAAGAGGAGAAGUGAAAUAUAUAUGAAAGCUGCUUAUGAUAUUGUGUGCUUCCAUUGUUGCAAAUAUUUAUAAUAAUGAAUACAUG